AAGUGGCGAACGGGUGCGUAACACGUGAGCAACCUGCCUCGGAGACCGGGAUAACUCGGGGAAACUCGGGCUAAUACCGGAUGCCCUCCCCGGACCGCAUGGUCUGGUGAGGAAAUGGUCUUCCGCUCCGAGAUGGGCUCGCGGCCUAUCAGCUUGUUGGUGGGGUAAUGGCCUACCAAGGCAACGACGGGUAGCUGGUCUGAGAGGAUGUCCAGCCACACUGGAACUGAGACACGGUCCAGACUCCUACGGGAGGCAGCAGUGGGGAAUCUUGCGCAAUGGGCGAAAGCCUGACGCAGCGACGCCGCGUGCGGGAUGAAGGCCCUCGGGUCGUAAACCGCUUUCAGCAGGGACGAUUGUGACGGUACCUGCAGAAGAAGCCCCGGCCAA
RNAcentral lists this ribosomal RNA (390 nucleotides) under uncultured bacterium. RNAcentral describes it as "bacterial SSU rRNA". It matches the Rfam family "Bacterial small subunit ribosomal RNA", at positions 93 to 500 of the family's 1533-position model. The record is from RNAcentral.